Molecule: ribosomal RNA, 460 nt
Filed under: uncultured bacterium
Lineage: Bacteria
Description: partial 16S ribosomal RNA
Rfam family: Bacterial small subunit ribosomal RNA
Source: RNAcentral
CCUACGGGGGGCAGUAGUGAGGAAUAUUGGUCAAUGGACGAGAGUCUGAAGCAGCCAAGUAGCGUGAAGGAUGACUGCCCUAUGGGUUGUAAACUUCUUUUAUAAAGGAAUAAAACGAGGCACGUGUGCCUUUUCGCAUGUACUUUAUGAAUAAGGAUAGGCUAACUCCGCGCCAGCAGCCGCGGUAAUACGGAGGAUCCGAGCGUUAUCCGGAUUUAUUGGGUUUAAAGGGAGCGUAGAUGGGUUGUUAAGUCAGUUGUGAAAGUUUGCGGCUCAACCGUAAAAUUGCAGUUGAUACUGGCAGCCUUGAGUACAGUAGAGGUGAGCGGAAGUCGUGGUGUAGCGGUGAAAUGCUUAGAUAUCACGAAGAACUCCGAUUGCGAAGGCAGCCUGCUGGACUGUAACUGACGCUGAUGCUCGAAAGUGUGGGUAUCAAACAGGAUUAGAUACCCCAGUAGUC